AGUGCUAGGGGUGCCAUUGGCUGAGAGGUUUCAACCGACCCUUAUUACCUGAUCUGGUUAGUACCAGCGUAGGAAAGCAACAAUAA
This 86-nucleotide non-coding RNA is filed under the name human gut metagenome. RNAcentral's name for it is "TPP riboswitch (THI element)". The stretch from base 3 to 79 matches the Rfam family "TPP riboswitch aptamer (THI element)", at positions 7 to 92 of the family's 105-position model. Rfam says of the family: Vitamin B(1) in its active form thiamin pyrophosphate (TPP) is an essential coenzyme that is synthesised by coupling of pyrimidine and thiazole moieties in bacteria. The previously detected thiamin-regulatory element, thi box was extended, resulting in a new, highly conserved RNA secondary structure, the THI element, which is widely distributed in eubacteria and also occurs in some archaea. The record is from RNAcentral.